CAGGGGCCCAAGGUAGUCAGAGAUGGCUCCAGCCUGGCUGCCAAACAGGCAGGAACUCCAUUGUUUAAUUAAUCCCAUCAAUAGGAUUGCUGACUGGGGAUUAAAGGUUGGGUUGAAUACAUGUAUCUGUUAAUUUAUGUUAAUGAAUUCUGUGGCUAUAUGAGUCUAUGUUUUACAACAAUAAACUGUUCAUUCCUGCUGUACUC
Molecule: long non-coding RNA, 206 nt
Organism: Spea bombifrons (plains spadefoot toad)
Lineage: Eukaryota; Metazoa; Chordata; Amphibia; Anura; Pelobatidae
Exons: 2
Source: RefSeq, a predicted model, not a curated record